GGGUGCGACGAUUCCACGGGUCGCUGUGCGCGCGUGAGACGCAGCGUCGUAUGGAGGGAAAUCGGACGUCGCUGGUUGCAGUUCACGCCCGGCUGGACGCUCGCGUGCUGUCCCGUGCUUAGCAACCAUCCUUAACCCAGGGGUGACUUGUCUGUUCGUAGAAAACUGGUUUGUGUACGUGCCAGCUAGCGCCAGAUAAUGUAUGAAAUAAGUAAUAGUGCUACAUAUAUAAUUAUAUAUAUAUAAAGAGUAUUCUAUCGGCGGGUUGGGGUGAGGGGCUAGUGAUCUAAUAUGCUUACACCAUCUACCUGCCCUAAAUCUAAGUGCUUGCUCAGAUACUGAGUAAAAUAAUUUCGCUGAUCUCAUGUGGAUGAAUUAAUCUUGUCGUGGGAUAGGUUUGAUGUAGGAGAGCAGGGAGAAGAGGAGGAGGAAGAGGCGAAGGAGGAUGAGGAGGACAAAAUGGAAGCAGUAGAGAAGAGUAGGUGAUUGGGGGGAAACAAGCAGAGGAAGAAUGUUAAAUGUUAAGGGGAGGACGAAUUGAUCUCAGUAAGUGAUAUGCUUUGUAACCUGGUAGUAUGACGUGUCUGGUGUGACCUUGUAAACAACCGUGAUCACGUCGGGUGAAAUAGUGUGAUUCUUGUGGGCGCGUGCGUGCGUGAAUGCAUGUGUGCGUGCAUGCGUGUGUGGAUAGUGUGACAUUGUAGACAAAUGACUACCGCGGUGUGUAUAUGAUUAGCUUAAAAUAACAACGCGACGUAAUGCAACAGCUGCGGUUAACAAUAGCUUAACAUAGAUAUAACCGAACCACCUGCACGAGAAAGACGCGAAACGUAUUGGUCCAGCUCGUGUCUGCUUUAUAGUGGAGGGUUUGUGAAGGAAGAUGACCCAGUGCUUUAGCACGCACACGCUCGCGUUGCAUGUAAGAUUGGUGCAGUGGUCGAUGGCCGUUGUACAAAAUCAAGCAAGAUGCAGUCGUAGCGCAUAGCUCAAAAUAAAUAGUCACACGUCUAAAUUAUGGAAGGUGAAUCCGCUGUAACGUGCAUGUAGUCAUUGUAAUAAUGGUGCUGAGCUUUUACAUGUGCGCGUGUGCGCGCGCGCGUGAUGCAUCCUAGAUGUAAAGCUGUGAGACUGUGUACUUGAAUAUGUGAGCUCCCAUUACUUGUUAGUAAAAUUUUCUAUUAUCAUGGCACCAUCAGUAUUUGAAUGCAUGCCUGCGCGUUGUGGCAGGGAUGCGAUCUUCGGUGACUAUGGUCCGUGCAGUAAAUUCUAUUGCCAAGUAUUGUGGAGUCCUAGCUAUAGAAAUAAUGAUAUUGCCUUUGCGUUAUUUUCGCCUAAUUUUGUUGGUAUCUGUUAUACCAAGUGUCUGUCUAAGACGAUAGCAGUUAUUUUCAGUAUACAUUGUAGUAUAUAUGGUAUAUAUAGUAUAUAUAGUUACACUGUAGUAUAUAUACCCUAUAGAUAGAUUUGAGUGCCCGCACUCUGUGAAACUUCCAGCUGACGCCAGCACUGUGCAUACACGCUGCCCUAGUGGCAUCUUUAUGAUACUCUUCUAUGAAUCUCCGGCACUCGUGGUCACAGGGUAUGCGGAAGAUUAAUGUCUUCAGUGGAUACGUGGUGAAACGACGUUGACCUUGGCAACUGUGAGAGUAGUGCAGCUCACGAAAACGUGCUCGUUACUUACGUUGUCAAUGUCGAUGGGAAUCUCGAACUGCGAUGCAGAAUCUCAGAAGUCUUGCGAGCGACACCGGUUCUAUAUGCUGUCGUGCGCGGGCCGCGGCGCAGCUAGGGGUCGGUCGCUUGAUGCCGUGUGGACACAUAAACACUGAUGGAUUUGUUUUGAUGAGGCCAGUUUUGAUGUGAUGUGAAGAGGUAACAUGCAUCCGAUGCUACAGUGGAUGUAGCACUGGGUGCUGCAGGGAUCCGUGGCGGAUGUGCAGGGAUCCAUGGCGGAAGCUGCAGCGAUCUGUGGCGGAAACUGCAGGGAUCUGUGGCGGAAGCUGCGGGGAUCCAUGGCGGAAGCUGCAGCGAUCUGUGGCGGAAGCUGCAGGGAUCUGUGGCGGAAGCUGCAGCGAUCUGUGGCAGAAGCUGCAGGGAUCUGUGGCGGAAGCUGCGGGGAUUUGUGGCAGUUGCUGCAGGGAUCUGUGGCGGAAGCUGCAGGGAUCUGUGGCGGAAGCUGCAGGGAUCUGUGGUAGAUGCUGCAGGGAUCUGUGGCGGAUGCUGCAAGGAUCUGUGGUGGUUGCUGCAGGGAUCUGUGGCGGAUGCUGCAGGGAUCUGUGGUAGAUGCUGCAGGGAUCAGUGGUGGAUGCUGCGGGGAUCUGUGGCGGAUGCUGCAGUGAUCAGUGGUGGAUGCUGCAGGGAUCUGUGGCAGAUGCUGCAGGGAUCUGUGGCAGAUGCUGCAGAGAUCUGUGGCAGAUGCUGCAGGGAUCUGUGGUAGAUGCUGCAGGGAUCAGUGGUGGAUGCUGCAGGGAUCUAGGGAUCUGUGGUAGAUGCUGCAGGGAUCUAGGGAUCUGUGGUAGAUGCUGCAGGGAUCUGUUGUGGAUGCUGCAGGGAUCUAGGGAUCUGUGGUAGAUGCUGCAGGGAUCUGUUGUGGAUGCUGCGGUGGGUGCUGGGCAGACGUUACUUGCUUGCCACGAAAUCAGCUUCGUUAGUAGUGGUAUUUAUAUAUCCCGUAUGUAAAUAUUGCAUGUUGACCCGUCGUUCCUGUUCAUUGUUCUCUAAAGCGAAUGCAAUUAAAAAGCAUAUGAAACCAUGA
RNAcentral lists this unclassified non-coding RNA (2752 nucleotides) under Priapulus caudatus. RNAcentral's name for it is "uncharacterized LOC106809091, transcript variant X1". The record is from RNAcentral. Lineage: Eukaryota; Metazoa; Priapulida; Priapulimorpha; Priapulimorphida; Priapulidae.